CCAUCUCCAUUCUCCACUCUCUAACCCUAAAACUCUCCACCUCCAAAGUCCAAAACUCCAAAUUGACGGCUAUCUCUUCACCAGUCCAGGUCGUCGCCUCUAGCCAGCCCGUCGCCUCCAGUUUCCACCCGUCGUCUCCAGCCAUCGAACAGUUGCCUCCGCCCUUCAGCCAUCUAUGCCGCUUCCAAGAAGGUGUUGAAUAAUGAAAGUCAAACAGUUGGAGAUGUCCUUGGUACUUGGAAAUUUGAGCAAGAAGAGGUCAUGAAGCUUAAGUUUGUUGAAGGGGAGUCUUUUCAACACUUUUCCAUCUAGAAAAGGAACUCGCCCAACACAAUAUGAUGAAAACAUAGAACAACGUAUUUGAAGAUAUUGAAGAGCGAAUAUCUGUGGUGAAAUCUCCAUUAGUUUAUGUACUCCUAUGAAACUUUGGUUUGGUUGAUAUUGAUGUUGUAGCCUAAAUAUUGAUUUUUGUUGGUUGAUGGAUAUUAAUCAUGAUAUGGUUUUAUGAUUUCUUAUU
This is a long non-coding RNA of Salvia hispanica, 517 nucleotides long. RefSeq lists it as uncharacterized. NCBI's taxonomy places the organism in Eukaryota, Viridiplantae, Streptophyta, Magnoliopsida, Lamiales, Lamiaceae. The record is from RefSeq and is a predicted model, not a curated record.